Molecule: ribosomal RNA, 630 nt
Filed under: uncultured soil bacterium
Lineage: Bacteria
Description: bacterial SSU rRNA
Rfam family: Bacterial small subunit ribosomal RNA
Source: RNAcentral
CUGGCGGCAUGCCUUACACAUGCAAGUCGAGCGGCAGCGCGGGGGCAACCCUGGCGGCGAGCGGCGAACGGGUGAGUAAUGCAUCGGAACGUGUCCUCUUGUGGGGGAUAACCAGUCGAAAGACUGGCUAAUACCGCAUGAGCUCGAGAGAGGAAAGCAGGGGACCCGCAAGGGCCUUGCGCGAGAGGAGCGGCCGAUGCCGGAUUAGCUAGUUGGCGGGGUAACGGCCCACCAAGGCGACGAUCCGUAGCUGGUCUGAGAGGACGACCAGCCACACUGGGACUGAGACACGGCCCAGACUCCUACGGGAGGCAGCAGUGGGGAAUUUUGGACAAUGGGGGCAACCCUGAUCCAGCCAUGCCGCGUGUGUGAAGAAGGCCUUCGGGUUGUAAAGCACUUUCGGACGGAACGAAAUCGCGCGAUCUAACAAGUCGCGUGGAUGACGGUACCGUAAGAAGAAGCACCGGCUAACUACGUGCCAGCAGCCGCGGUAAUACGUAGGGUGCGAGCGUUAAUCGGAAUUACUGGGCGUAAAGUGUGCGCAGGCGGCCGCGCAAGUCGAGUGUGAAAGCCCCGGGCUUAACUUGGGAAUUGCGCUCGAAACUACGUGGCUGGAGUGUGGCAGAGGAA